Molecule: long non-coding RNA, 318 nt
Filed under: Olea europaea (common olive)
Lineage: Eukaryota; Viridiplantae; Streptophyta; Magnoliopsida; Lamiales; Oleaceae
Description: long non-coding RNA (OEUR_LNC014963)
Source: RNAcentral
GAACGUUACGAAAACUCAUUUUUCUUUAAUUAAAAAAAAAUGCGGAACUAUAUAAAAUUCUUCAAUAAACAAAUAAUUGUAACGUUUAAAUUAAAAUUAUUGAAAGCGUAUCUAACCAUAAACAUAAACUCCUAAGUAAUUCAAAUAAUGCGUUCUAAAUUAAAAUAAACAAAUUGCUAAAUUUAAAAUGGCAAACUUAUUUCUUUUUCUCUAUUCUUUAUCCACUUGGCAGUCCGCAUCACCAAUUCUCCACUGUUCCAAUCGACCCGAACUAAUCUGAAAAAUUAAUGUAAGAGUGAGUAUUAAAAAUACCCAGUA